RNAcentral lists this ribosomal RNA (2126 nucleotides) under Salmonella enterica subsp. enterica serovar Typhimurium str. LT2-4. RNAcentral describes it as "bacterial LSU rRNA". It matches the Rfam family "Bacterial large subunit ribosomal RNA", at positions 1 to 2048 of the family's 2925-position model. Lineage: Bacteria; Pseudomonadati; Pseudomonadota; Gammaproteobacteria; Enterobacterales; Enterobacteriaceae. The record is from RNAcentral.
GGUUAAGCGACUAAGCGUACACGGUGGAUGCCCUGGCAGUCAGAGGCGAUGAAGGGCGUGCUAAUCUGCGAUAAGCGCCGGUAAGGUGAUAUGAACCGUUAUAACCGGCGAUACCCGAAUGGGGAAACCCAGUGUGACUCGUCACACUAUCAUUAACUGAAUCCAUAGGUUAAUGAGGCGAACCGGGGGAACUGAAACAUCUAAGUACCCCGAGGAAAAGAAAUCAACCGAGAUUCCCCCAGUAGCGGCGAGCGAACGGGGAGGAGCCCAGAGCCUGAAUCAGCAUGUGUGUUAGUGGAAGCGUCUGGAAAGGCGCGCGAUACAGGGUGACAGCCCCGUACACAAAAGCGCAUGUGCUGUGAGCUCGAUGAGUAGGGCGGGACACGUGGUAUCCUGUCUGAAUAUGGGGGGACCAUCCUCCAAGGCUAAAUACUCCUGACUGACCGAUAGUGAACCAGUACCGUGAGGGAAAGGCGAAAAGAACCCCGGCGAGGGGAGUGAAAAAGAACCUGAAACCGUGUACGUACAAGCAGUGGGAGCCCCACCACCAAAGCAUUCUCUGGUGUUGAAGGCCCUGCAAAGCAGCAUCGCGGUGGCGGAGCGUCGUUUGCGACGCCCAACACACAAAACAAGCGGUGAAUGCUUUGGGGUGGGGUGACUGCGUACCUUUUGUAUAAUGGGUCAGCGACUUAUAUUCUGUAGCAAGGUUAACCGAAUAGGGGAGCCGGAGGGAAACCGAGUCUUAAUUGGGCGUUAAGUUGCAGGGUAUAGACCCGAAACCCGGUGAUCUAGCCAUGGGCAGGUUGAAGGUUGGGUAACACUAACUGGAGGACCGAACCGACUAAUGUUGAAAAAUUAGCGGAUGACCUGUGGCUGGGGGUGAAAGGCCAAUCAAACCGGGAGAUAGCUGGUUCUCCCCGAAAGCUAUUUAGGUAGCGCCUCGUGAAUUCAUCUCCGGGGGUAGAGCACUGUUUCGGCUAGGGGGCCAUCCCGGCUUACCAACCCGAUGCAAACUGCGAAUACCGGAGAAUGUUAUCACGGGAGACACACGGCGGGUGCUAACGUCCGUCGUGAAGAGGGAAACAACCCAGACCGCCAGCUAAGGUCCCAAAGUCAUGGUUAAGUGGGAAACGAUGUGGGAAGGCCCAGACAGCCAGGAUGUUGGCUUAGAAGCAGCCAUCAUUUAAAGAAAGCGUAAUAGCUCACUGGUCGAGUCGGCCUGCGCGGAAGAUGUAACGGGGCUAAACCAUGCACCGAAGCUGCGGCAGCGACGCUGAUGCGUUGUUGGGUAGGGGAGCGUUCUGUAAGCCUGCGAAGGUGACCUGUGAGGGUUGCUGGAGGUAUCAGAAGUGCGAAUGCUGACAUAAGUAACGAUAAAGCGGGUGAAAAGCCCGCUCGCCGGAAGACCAAGGGUUCCUGUCCAACGUUAAUCGGGGCAGGGUGAGUCGACCCCUAAGGCGAGGCCGAAAGGCGUAGUCGAUGGGAAACGGGUUAAUAUUCCCGUACUUGGUGUUACUGCGAAGGGGGGACGGAGAAGGCUAUGUUGGCCGGGCGACGGUUGUCCCGGUUUAAGCGUGUAGGUGUGUGUUCCAGGUAAAUCCGGUUCACUUUAACACUGAGGCGUGAUGACGAGGCACUACGGUGCUGAAGCAACAAAUGCCCUGCUUCCAGGAAAAGCCUCUAAGCAUCAGGUAACAUCAAAUCGUACCCCAAACCGACACAGGUGGUCAGGUAGAGAAUACCAAGGCGCUUGAGAGAACUCGGGUGAAGGAACUAGGCAAAAUGGUGCCGUAACUUCGGGAGAAGGCACGCUGACACGUAGGUGAAGUGAUUUACUCACGGAGCUGAAGUCAGUCGAAGAUACCAGCUGGCUGCAACUGUUUAUUAAAAACACAGCACUGUGCAAACACGAAAGUGGACGUAUACGGUGUGACGCCUGCCCGGUGCCGGAAGGUUAAUUGAUGGGGUCAGCGCAAGCGAAGCUCCUGAUCGAAGCCCCGGUAAACGGCGGCCGUAACUAUAACGGUCCUAAGGUAGCGAAAUUCCUUGUCGGGUAAGUUCCGACCUGCACGAAUGGCGUAAUGAUGGCCAGGCUGUCUCCACCCGAGACUCAGUGAAAUUGAACU